GAGGCCAUUGUGGUACACGUUUGA
RNAcentral lists this non-coding RNA (24 nucleotides) under Arabidopsis thaliana (thale cress). Lineage: Eukaryota; Viridiplantae; Streptophyta; Magnoliopsida; Brassicales; Brassicaceae. The record is from RNAcentral.